UGGGGAAUAUUGGACAAUGGGCGAAAGCCUGAUCCAGCAAUGCCGCGUGAGUGAUGAAGGCCUUAGGGUUGUAAAGCUCUUUUACCCGGGAUGCAGUACCGGGAGAAUAAGCUCCGGCUAACUCCGUGCCAGCAGCCGCGGUAAUACGGAGGGAGCUAGCGUUGUUCGGAAUUACUGGGCGUAAAGCGCGCGUAGGCGGUUUUUAAGUCAGAGGUGAAAGCCCAGUGCUCAACACUGGAACUGCCUUUGAAACUGGAAAACUUGAAUCUUGGAGAGGUCAGUGGAAUUCCGAGUGUAGAGGUGAAAUUCGUAGAUAUUCGGAAGAACACCAGUGGCGAAGGCGACUGACUGGACAAGUAUUGACGCUGAGGUGCGAAAGCGUGGGGAGCAAACAGGAUUAGAUACCCUAGUAGUCCUGAGACUCCAAGGCACACAGG
This 437-nucleotide ribosomal RNA is filed under the name uncultured bacterium. RNAcentral's name for it is "bacterial SSU rRNA". It matches the Rfam family "Bacterial small subunit ribosomal RNA", at positions 355 to 819 of the family's 1533-position model. The record is from RNAcentral.